GUGGUUGUUGUAUGUUUAAUUAAAAUUAGUGUACUUAUCAUCUUUUGUACUGAAAUAACAAAAAAGCAUGGAGAAUCUUUUGGAUUACUCUGUUUCAGAAGAUGCAUUGGAGUGAGCGAAAAAGGUUCAAGUAGUCUCCAUACAAAAUCUAAAUGUGUAAGCUAUCUUUUUUUUUAACUUAAUCUUUUAUCUCUUUCAACUUUAUAUUUAUUGAAUUGUAAAUGUUGAUUCACUGACUGCUUUAAUUUAGUUCAAGUUUGAC
RNAcentral lists this long non-coding RNA (262 nucleotides) under Citrus maxima (pomelo). Its description in RNAcentral is "long non-coding RNA (CMAX_LNC004196)". The record is from RNAcentral. Lineage: Eukaryota; Viridiplantae; Streptophyta; Magnoliopsida; Sapindales; Rutaceae.